CGCUUUCGGCGGCGCUACGUUCGAGGUUUCUGCUUUGUGGCUGUCGGUGGCUUGCCCAAUUGGAUAAGCGCAAAGCCACCUUCUAACCAGAAAUGGUGGCUUGGGGUUCUCCUCUUCCUAUAUACAGAUAUUAAACUGCAGCGAAGGAGCAGAGUCACCUGCUGCAGGUGGGGGGGAAAACUGAUCAAAAGAGACGCCGAAGGCAGAGAAUCGCGCAGCGGACAGAGAUUUCCGCGAGGAUGCAACUAUCUGCAUGCAAAAUCACACCCCUCUACAAAAAGGAUGGAGAUGCUGAUGGCAUAACACUGUUUUGUCAUUUUCCUUCCUUGGACACCCUUUUCAAGACAUCCAUAUUCUAUAUAUGUAGCAUGAAAGUCAGGACAUAUUAUGAACAUGACGUAUCAUUUCAUCUAAGAACUUAUUGAUGUUUUCUUCACAGCAAGACAGUGACAGGAUACUGCAAUCAAAAGUAUUUUCAGAGCUGAAGAUGUCUCAGCAAAAAGCCUUCUAUGAUAUCCUUUUCAAAUAGACUGAAGCAAGAAUACAACCCAUGCCUGAAGCAAGGGUGGUUUGAAGAGGACCUUCCAUCUUGCCAGGUGUGCAAGGAGAGUUUUGCAGCAGUGAACUCUGGCCCUUCCUUCUCUUUGUUGUUCUCUUCUUUCCCUGCGGACUUUAAGAUCUUAGGAGCAGUACUGGACCAUGGGUGGAGCUCUAACUACAAAAGGAAGAGGCUGGUGGCACCUGAGCAUGCGGGGAAUCUGCUAGAAGAAGAUACAUGGGUGAGUGAGGAGAACACAAGAAGAUGCAUGUGAGAGGGUGCGGCAGCUGCUAGAAGAAAGGACAGGGUGGUUGGUGGUAAAGAAGAAGCUGGUUCCAGCACACCAACAUGGGAAGAAAGGGGAAGCAGAGCUGUUGUAAGAUGCCUCCCCCCCCCCAACGCCAACACAGUAAGACUGUAAAACCAACUGUUUCUUUUUUCAGCUGCACUUAGAAUAACAGCCAGUAGUAACAGACCCAACAGAUUCCAAAGUGGCUAAAAAAAAUUGUUACAGCCCGGGCAACAAAUGAGAAAAAAAAAAAUUAUGCGACUGUCCGUAUUGUUUUGUUGUGGUGGUUGAAAUUUUCCAAGAUUCAUGAACUCUAACUGGCUAAAAA
Non-coding RNA from Notechis scutatus (mainland tiger snake), 1155 nucleotides. The record is from RefSeq and is a predicted model, not a curated record. Lineage: Eukaryota; Metazoa; Chordata; Lepidosauria; Squamata; Elapidae.